UUUAAAAACCACAGAAUUGGAAAGAAUGGAAAGCUGCCCUGCUUUCCACGGGGUGGAUCUCUCUCUCCCAUUUAUCUCUCUCCCUCCUAUUUCAAAACCAGAGUUGGAACAACAAGCAUCCUAGCUUUCCAAGGGUUGCUCCGAACCCCACGACGUUUCUUCCUAACUUCUCAGGAUAGCCGAGGACAAAAGAGCCAGUGUUACCCUGGUACUUCUAUGCAUGAUCACCAAGAAGCAUGGAUAGAAAGGGCUUUGCAGCCUUUUAGCCAAAAUCGUCCUCCUCUUAUCACACAGCAUUCUGGAACAGAAGAAAAGAAGAAAGCUAAAAGCUCUAUUAAAUCGAGAGCCUUUCUCUGAUACCUCACUACUCAGGGUGAGUAGCGAACCAACAACCUCGGCAUGGGCUGUCAACCCCAUUAGCAGAAGCUCAGCUUUCCUCUGUCAGGACUUCCAUUGUGAUACGUAUGUUUUGGCCUUUAUUCACACAGAUACUUGGUUUAUAAGCCCUUUCUAAAGGGCAACUGUAGAAAUUAAUUUCUCUUCUCCAAGGGAGGUCACAGAAACCCUUAAUCUGCCCCUGCACUCUUUCGUGCAUCUGGCCUUAAAAGAGCUCUGACCUGUCUAUUCUUGUCCAAUAGCAGAUCAAAACAAACAAACAAAAAAGCCUCCCUCAUUCUGGACGGGGCCUGCCCCAUCUCUGGAGAAAGGAAUAUUGCUCAGGGAGGCCAUGAAGAAUAGUAGCAUAGACAAGCCAGUCUACUAGUAACCAUGACCAUGAAAGAGGGCUCCAUAAAAACCCGAAGGGCAGGGCAUAGCUUUUGGAUGGUUGAACAUAUGGAGGAGGUGUUAGGCUUAGAAAAUGCAAAGGGUUUCACAUGCCUCUCCCCAAAUUUACUCCGUCGUCUUAUCCUAUAAAGCAGUGGUUCUCAACCUAUGGGUCGAGACCUUACAGGGGUUUCAUAUCAGAUAUUUACAUCAGAUAUUUACAUUGUGAUUCAUAGCAAUAGCAAAAUUACAGUUAUGAAGUAGCAACAAAAAUAACUUUAUGGUUGGAAGUCACCACAACGUAAGGAACUAUAUCAAAGGAUCUCAGCAUUAGGACGGUUGAGAACCAUUGAUAUAGAGAAUCCAUUAAUGACUGGUAUUUCCCUGAGUUGUACCAAAUUAACUGAACCUGAGGAGACAGGUGUGGGAACCUUAAUUUAUAGAAGUUGAGUCAGAAGUUCAGGUAAAACAAAUCUGGGAUGGGAGGGGGCACACAUGUAAUCCCACAAGUCUGGAGGCUAAGGCAGGAUCAUAAAUUCCAGGAUAACUUGAGCUACAUAAAGAUCCUGUCUCUAAAACAAAACCAGAUAACCAACUGUCUUAGUUAGGGUUUUACUGCUGUGAAUAGACACCAUGACCAAAACAAGUCUUACAGAGGACAACAUUUAAUAGGGGCUGGCUUACAGGUUGAGAGAUCCAGUCCAUUAUCAAGAUGGGAACACGGCAGCAUCCAGGUAGGCAUGGUGCAGGAGCUGAGAGUUCUACAUCUUCAUCUGAAGGCUGCUAGCAGAACACUCACUUCCAGGCAGCUAGGACUAGGAUAUUAAAGCCCACACCCACGGUGACACACCUAGUCCAACAAGGGCACACCUCCCUAGGCCAAGCAUAUACAAACCAUCACACUAACCUAGGGUUGCAAGCUGGCUUCUGAUUGAAGGCAGGGUAUCAAAAGGACUGAGUUUCUAUGCUGUUGUACUGGACACAGCCAGGAAUACAGCUCUGGACAGAAUUGGAUCAGAGAGCACCCAGCUGGUUCCCUCUGUAGUGGUAUCAAUUGCUUGUCUGCUUGUGGAACAAAGUCCCCACACAUUUGAGGUCAUAGAAGCCUAUAUACAUUGAGGGCGGAGGAAAAUGGGCAGCUUGUUUUUCUUAGACACAUCCAGUGACUAGUUUACACAUUAGCAUUGUUCUUUAAAAUUUAUUGUGAAUGAAUUAUGAACCAACAGACGCUUGAAAAUAGUUCAAGUGAGUUUGGGAUGGCUGGAAAUAUGGGGUUGGGGGCAGACUGGAGAAUUUCAAUGUGACUAGAUGGUUUAAAAGGACCAAAGUAAAGAGAAGCUGGACAAUGGCCAAUGUCAUCAUAUGCCAUCACUCCAAAAGUUCCCAGCAUCAUGAAGUAAGUCACUCUGGAGAACGGAAGAGGACACCCUAGAACUGUCUGAAGAAAACAGAAGCGCCUGAACCUAAGCGUUCUGCCAAAGAGAUGAGGCUGCUAAAGAGAGAUUACAUAACAUUCCAGAGAAUAAGGAGUUAAAUAUUAAGCCAGGUGCGGUGGCACACGCCUGAAUUCCCAGCCACUGGGGAGGCUGAAGCUGGAGAAUACCUGAGUUCGAGGCCAGCCUAGGUGAUAUAGCAAGAGCUUGUGAUUAAGGCCCUAGCAUUUCUUUAAAAAAAAAAAAGAAAGAAAGAAAGAAAGAAAGAAAGAAAGGAAGAAAGAAAGGAAGAAAAGAAAAGGAAAGAAAAGAGAAAAAGGAGGGUGGGGGCAGAGCGUAUGACCAAAUGCUGACUUGUAGGAGUUUCGACAAGAAAGUGUAGAGACAGGUGAAAUAACAGACAGGAAGCCUUCAUGGUUUAAACCCAGGUCAGGUUUAUGUAUGUGCAUCCAGGGUUCAGGCUCAGGCACAGUCUAGUCUGAACCUGCCUUAAGUUCAUAUACUCAAAGGUCUCUGAGCCAGGUCUCUUGGCCCGUGCUAGGAGUGGACAGAAAACUUCUUUCAUGGGAAAGCAGGCACUCUCACAUCGAGUGGAUUCGAUAGGGAUGUGUAGGAACAGUAACACCAAGUAUUCUGAGACAUACACAUGCUCUUUUAGUUUACAGGCAACAUGCAGUGUGCCAACCACAAUCAGUCACAGGCGGUGGUUAAGUCACAGCUCCCAGGCAACCUGAAUGCAGACAGAACCCUUUGCUCAAGGAGACUGGUAGUCCCUGGCUGUCUACCUAUCAGUCACAUGUCAUGGAGGUGGGGGAGAACAGGUAACUUGGUUGCUUUUAGACCAAGAUCAAAUGCUUAGAAACCUUAGAGGGAAGGUGAGUUAUGCAAGUACUGGGAGAGCCACGAGGAAAACAGUAAGGAACAAAUGGACAAGAAAUGCAUCUCUGGUCUGACAUUAGCACAUUCCAUCCAGUCAGUUGCCAGGCAACUGAAUUUGGCUGGAGAGGAGAGAUUAUUAUUGAUGCUGACUUCCAGGUUUACUUAAAGCUUGGGUAAGAUUUAUGAGAUGCAUCGUUGCGUAUUCUAGCAAGGACUGAGAGCCACUUCCACAGUUCUAUAAGAGGGGGAUGUAGAGGAUAGGACCUAGAAUUGCCUAAAGGACCAACCUCUGGGCAUGUCUGUAAGGAAGUUUCAUUAGAUGAACUUAGGUUUGGAACAUCCAUCCUGGGAGCUAAUGAAAGACCAGCGGGGGAAACUGGACUGUCCUCCUUCCUUUCGCUCUGUUCCACGUACAGAACACUCAUGACCCUUUUGGCCUAACACCUUAUUAGAUUAUGUAUGAGAACCCCCCCCCCACUGAAUUGGGCAGGGCCCUACCCUGAGGUUUUUCCUAAAACCCUGUUUGCCCAUUUAAAAGCUUCCAAAGUGGAAUUUGGAGCCAAGUGAAGGACACCUACAAGACGGGAAGUCCAGUGCGCCUCACCAGUUCCCAGCGAGAGACACAGUCCUGGUCCAGCAACACCAGGCUAAAAAUUUAGAAGCUUCAUCUCUGUUGUAAGCGCUUAUAACCCCCAUAUCCCCCAGAAACUGAUUUGGCAAGUCUCCUCCCAGGCCAGGGAGGUAAUAUGGUCCAUCUCCAAGGUGACCCACCAUACACAUAGUGGCCCACUCUCACCCCUGACUUUUGUAAGUUGGUAGCUGGGCUGGACACCUAGACAUUCCUGACACAGAUUCUCAGAGUAUGCCCCUAGAAGUCCCAAAGAGAUUUCACCUGGGGGCAAGUUCGGAUGUGGAAGUCCAAAAGCAAGAUGCCAGUUGGGGAGACUGGGGUUUUACGUUUGCCCCCGAGAUGGCCGAGACCAGGCUGCCGUCUAGUGUUGUGGGGGCUUAGAAAGUUUAUACUGUUCUGCUUGGGGAUGUGAGACUAAUUUCCACACUCCUAGGACCCUUAGUUAUUCUCUUGUUACUUUUGAUGUUUGGACCCUGUAUUUUUAAUAAGUUAAUAGCCUUUAUUAGAGAAAGAGUUAGUGCAGUGCAGAUUUUAAUGCUUCACCAACAAUAUCAUGCCUCAGACGACCUUAGAAGAAAAAUUGAAGAAAAAGGCCCCGAGUUCUAAGAUUAGAACUAGUCACAAGCAGAAGUGGGGAAUGAAAGAAAAAAGAUUUUAAACUGUCCCCCACUGACCCUUCUGUGAGGACAAGUGCACCUCACAGCAAAGAAUAACAUAACAUGUUUUGGGGAUGUAGCCUGGCUAUAGCCACCACAAACCAUCUGGCCUCGAUAAGGCCUGACUCAACAGUCCUGAGAAAAACGAGAAUUAGGGUCAGCUUGCCCCAGAAGCAGGGUGGCCUAGAGUUGAACUGAGCCUAAGUUACAAACCAAUGAAAUUACUUUGUGUGACUGUUGCCAACUGCCUAUGUAAUUUUCCCUAUAAAUCCCUUCCCUUAAUUGGGCUCAGGGUCGACUCCUCUGUCUCCUGUGUGAGAUACGUGUUGUCCCCAAGGCUCUGGUUUCUCAAAUACACCUCUUGUUCAUUACAUCAAGACCGGUUUCUCGUGAGUUCUUGGGGGUUACGUCAUCUCAAGAUUUGAGUGGGGGUCUUCCCCACCCCACUGGUCUUUCACUAGUAGGGUCCCAAACUGAAGAAACUAGAGGAAGGAAGCCAGCUGAGUGUCAGCUUUUAUCAGCUUCCUGACUGUGCAUGCAAUGUGACCUGCCAACUCACAUUCUGGCUGCCAUCCUCCCUCCAUCUGGCCAGAACAAGCCCUUUCUUCCUUAUGUUGAUCUGGUCAAGUGUCUUGUUCCAGCAAGGGACACAAUAACUAAUACAGGAAAGUUGUGCUGUGAGCAACAGGCUAAUCAAAUAGCUCUGGUUGACUGUGUCUGUUCAGAAAACCCAAGGUGUUACCAAAGGAUGAUCAGAUGGACUACCUUAUCAGUCUUCCUGAAACUGAAAAGAGGGCAGGCAGUGUAAUGGAAGAAGGCUGCUCCUGCCAAGCCUGACCAUACCUCACAAACAAGCCUGGAUACUCCUGCCUAGCUUUCCUGUCAUGUUCUGCCCUUGGUGUUUGUUUUUCUGUGGUUCCUUACAAGCUAUCCCUCCCAGCCCCUGUCAGAAGUCUAUAAAUGGCAAAGAUCUCUCUCCCAUCCUGUAGCCUGCUUGCUAUGCGUACAGUGGAACUUUUUACUGUGGAACUUUUUAAUUUCCUGUAGUGUCCUUUGUUAACUCAAGAGCUCAAGAAGCAAGGACUGGAAAUGUUCUGGUAUUCAAGAAAAGAUGGCAGACAGGCUGCGUGCCUCUAACCCAAAAGAGAAGGAGGCCAGGGAGACUAGAGAGCAUAAGAAAGCAUGACCUCACUCACCAGCUCCUUCCUCACCACAAGACCCGGUUAAAAUUAGGACCAUUGUAAUACUAAUUGUACAAGGAAAUCCAGCAGGGCUUCCAGUGAAUCAGAACCACUUGGCAACUAGCCAGGGACUUAGUCAGUUCACAAAUAUGAAUAUUCAUUGGAACCUAUAGUGAAAGGCAAGGGAGUCAUCACAGGGAAGAGAGACAGUGAGUCAGACCUCAAUCCUGCCCUCCAGGGGCACAAAAGCCAGAAAAUACAAACUGGGAUCGGAGGGUAAAAUAAAAUGCCAAGAAGUGGUAAGACUUCCAGGCAUGUUCACAAGAGGAAGAGGACUGCAGGCUACAGAGACAGAAUGGCCUCCUGGGCUGGAAAAUAUCGGGCACUAUACGGAAGGUAAGAAUAAAAGUGCGGGAGUAGGCUUUCCGGAACUAACUGGACAGGACAGGUUUGGAGAAGAUGGCCCACAGGGAGUGGGAAGAUGGGGGAGGAGAUGAGAGGAGUGGAGUGAUGGGGGAGGGGAGGGGAGGAGAGGAGAGGCAAGGCGAGACGAGACAUGAUUUAGGAAAAUGACAGCUUGAGUUUUAUCCCUUCUAGUCAUAAAAGUUUGUUUCUAGGAAAAAAAAAUACAGGGGACUGAAAUGAUGACUCCAUGGUUAAGAGCAUUGACUGUUCUUCCAGAGGCCCUGGGUUCUGUUCCCAAUAGAUACUGCACCUAACUUAAGUUGCAGAGGCUCUAACACCCUCUUCGGGAUGUCUCAGGUGCCUGCACACAUGAGGUGCAAAUACAGACAAGUGGGAACACAGACAUGAAACAUAUCUUUAAAACAAUUUUUAAAAAAAAUUUGCCAAGAAUAAUAUCAAGUACAGAAAAAUUCUGUGGUAGUUUGAAUAAGAAUGUUGUCCACUACCACACUCCUAUAUUUGAAUGUUUGGUCAUCAGGGAGUUUAACUAUUUGAGAAAGAUUAGGAGGUGUGGCCCUAUUGGAGGAAGAAGGUUACUGGGGGUAGGGUUUUGAGGUUUUAAAAGCUGGAGCCAGGUCAAGCCUCUCUCUCUCUCACUUCCUGCAUUUGGAUUCCUGAUGUAGAACCUCAUCCUCUCCUCCAGUCACGUGUCUGCCUGCAUGCUGCCAUGCUCCUUACCAUGUUGGUGGCGAGCUUAACCUCUGAAAUGUAAGCAAACCCAAAUUAAAUGCUUUCCUUUAUAAGAGUUGCCAUGGUUAUGGUGUCUCUUCACACAGAGAGAACACUGAUUAAGACAAAUCCCAAGACUGGAAAUGCCUGUGUAUAAAUUGAAACCUGAUGCCUAAUCAAAAACCUCCCCACGAAUCAUGAAUGUCACUUACUGCACAGCAGUUUUUAAAAAGCAUGUAUUAGCAACUUAAUGUCCUGUACAUGAAUCUAAACAAGAAGUUUUCGAUGGAAUAUUACACACAACAUGGGUAGACUUACACAAUAUUGACAUAAACUAGUCAUAAAAGACUGUAUACAUAGUGUGGUUACAUUUAUAUGAAAUGUCCAAGGCACGUAUAUAUAUAGAGAAAGUGGGUCAGUGGUUACCCAGUUCUCUAGCAGUUUCUUUAUAGAUUGAAGUUUCUUUUUUUUUUUUUUUCCUUUUCUUUUUUUCAGAGCUGGGGACCGAGCCCAGGGCCUUGUGCUUGCUAGGCAAGCGCUCUACCACUGAGCUAAAUCCCCAACCCACAGAUUGAAGUUUCUUAAGCCAGAAAGUAAACACCUCAAAAUAGCUUCAGGAAGUCCCUAAAACCAACAAGAUUCACUACCCCCCUACCCCCAAUGUAAGCAGUCAAGAUUGCAGACAGUCAUUCUCAGACAAGACAAGAUGCAAAGAAGACUCUGAGACCAGACCUGCUGCCUGGAUUGGAAAACGCAGAGACCAGACAAGCUGCCUGAAACAGGCCAACUGGGGUAGGUGCCUGGAAAGGACAGCCUCCAACCUGUUGAGCUGCCUGCAGGCUAUGCAGUAUGCUCUAGGUUCUCGGCAUUUGUGAGCUGUCACCCAAGGUGGGGGAUGGGUUUUGGUAAUACAGCUGUCUUUGAGUCAUUUCUGUUCCUGUAAGGAACCCCUCAUCCACAUUCCAGUUAGAAACCCCAAUAAAAGCCAUUAGUUCAUCAA
This is a non-coding RNA of Rattus norvegicus (Norway rat), 7679 nucleotides long. The record is from RefSeq and is a predicted model, not a curated record. NCBI's taxonomy places the organism in Eukaryota, Metazoa, Chordata, Mammalia, Rodentia, Muridae.